This 164-nucleotide ribosomal RNA is filed under the name Acer velutinum. RNAcentral's name for it is "5.8S ribosomal RNA". It matches the Rfam family "5.8S ribosomal RNA". Rfam says of the family: 5.8S ribosomal RNA (5.8S rRNA) is a component of the large subunit of the eukaryotic ribosome. The record is from RNAcentral. Lineage: Eukaryota; Viridiplantae; Streptophyta; Magnoliopsida; Sapindales; Sapindaceae.
AAAACGACUCUCGGCAACGGAUAUCUCGGCUCUCGCAUCGAUGAAGAACGUAGCGAAAUGCGAUACUUGGUGUGAAUUGCAGAAUCCCGUGAACCAUCGAGUCUUUGAAUGCAAGUUGCGCCCCAAGCCGUUAGGCCGAGGGCACGCCUGCCUGGGUGUCACGC